This 440-nucleotide ribosomal RNA is filed under the name uncultured bacterium. RNAcentral's name for it is "partial 16S ribosomal RNA". It matches the Rfam family "Bacterial small subunit ribosomal RNA", at positions 338 to 795 of the family's 1533-position model. The record is from RNAcentral.
CCUACGGGUGGCAGCAGUGGGGGAUAUUGCACAAUGGGGGAAACCCUGAUGCAGCGACGCCGCGUGGGUGAAGAAGCGCCUUGGCGCGUAAAGCCCUGUCAGCAGGGAAGAAAAUGACGGUACCUGAAGCAGAAGCCCAGGCUAACUACGUGCAAGCAGCCGCGGUAAUCCGUGGGGGGCAAGCGUUAUCCGGAUUUACUGGGUGUAAAGGGGGCGCAGACGGGGAUGCAAGCCAGGAGUGAAAGCCCGGGGCCCAACCCCGGGACUGCGCUUGGAACUGCGUGGCUAGAGUGCAGGAGGGGCAGGCGGAAGUCGUGGUGUAGCGGUGAAAGGCGUAGAUAUCGGGAGGAACACCGGUGGCGAAGGCGGCCUGCUGGACUGCAACUGACGUUGAGGCCCGAAAGCGUGGGGAGCAAACAGGAUUAGAUACCCCAGUAGUC